CCUACGGGAGGCAGCAGUGGGGAAUAUUGGACAAUGGGGGGAACCCUGAUCCAGCCAUGCCGCGUGUGUGAAGAAGGCCUUAUGGUUGUAAAGCACUUUAAGCGAGGAGGAGGCUCUCUUGGUUAAUACCCAAGAAGAGUGGACGUUACUCGCAAAAUAAGCACCGGCUACCUCUGUGCCAGCAGCCGCGGUAAU
This 195-nucleotide ribosomal RNA is filed under the name bacterium rN4. RNAcentral's name for it is "partial 16S rRNA". It matches the Rfam family "Bacterial small subunit ribosomal RNA", at positions 338 to 524 of the family's 1533-position model. The record is from RNAcentral.